UGUUUAUAAGAAUGUUAAACCAACCCAGA
This 29-nucleotide non-coding RNA is filed under the name Mus musculus (house mouse). The record is from RNAcentral. Lineage: Eukaryota; Metazoa; Chordata; Mammalia; Rodentia; Muridae.